Molecule: microRNA precursor, 74 nt
Filed under: Tursiops truncatus (common bottlenose dolphin)
Lineage: Eukaryota; Metazoa; Chordata; Mammalia; Artiodactyla; Delphinidae
Description: miRNA (ENSTTRG00000025034.1)
Source: RNAcentral
GAUUGGCCAAAAAGUUCGUUCUGGUUUUUCCAUAAGAUGUUACAGAACAACCCAAACGAAAUUUUUGGCCCACC